GGCAGAUGCUAUAGUCCCAGCUACUCAGGAGGCUGAAGCAGGAGAAUCACUGGAAGCUGGGAAGCGGAGGUUGCAGUGAGCCGAGAUUGUGCCACUGCACUCCAGCCUGGGCAACAGAGUGAGUGAGACUUGGUCUAAAACAAAAACAAAAACCCAAAAAUGUAAUUAAAAAAAACCAUUGUUCCCUCAUGGGCCACACAAAAAGAGGCAGCCAGCUGGCUUUGGCUCCUGGGAUGUAGCUGCUGACCCAGCUGCAGUGCAGACCAGCGCCGUCCAGCAGCCCCUUCCGUAACGAUGGAAAUGCUUCUGUCUGCACCGUGACCACUGCACAGUUGAAAUGUAGUUAGUGUGACUGAAGAACUGAAUUUUUCAUGUUAUUUCAUUUCAAUUAAUUUAAAUUGAAAUAGGCACAUGUGGCUAGUGUCUAAUCACAGCUUUAAACCUUCUGUCCACUUCCUCUAGCCCUCAUAGAUUAUGUUUCUACAGUUUACUGCCUUCAAGAGCUUCUGUCUUACGAACUUGGCAAACAUAGACAAGUUUUGAAGAUUUUGUUUUCGUUGAUUCCUUUGGUCUGCAUUUAUUUUCUUCUUUUCUAGUUUUCUACAAUAUUCCCAGCCUGCCUGUUUCAUUGUAAUGCUAAAUUCCUAACUGUGCAGAGACAGAUGCCCCAAGGAGCCACAACAAACUGAAACUGGUACUACAGGGUUUUUAAUUUUUUUUUUCUUUUAGAGACAGGAUCUCGUUCUGUUACCCAGGCUGGAGUGCAGUGGCCUGAUCACGGCUCAGUGUAGCCUCUACCUUCUAGGCUCAAGCAAUCCUCCCACUUCAGCCUCCUGAGUAGCUGGGACUACAGGCAUGCACUACUAUGCCCAGCUAACUUUUUUAUUUUUUAUAGAGACGGGGUCGCACUACAUUGCCCAGGCUGGUCUUGAACUUUAGGCAUCUAGCAGUCCUCCCAUCUUGACCUCUCAAAGGGCCAGGCAUGAGCCACCAUGUCCAGGAGGAUAUUUUAAAUUUGAAGAAAACACACAACACUCAACAUUAUCAGACUGUGCAUGAACUACCAGUUCGAUCUACUUCUAGCUCAGAUCUAUCCAACCAUUCGCAUAGUACUACUAGCCCACAGCUUCAUCACUAGCUAGUGCUUCAUUCCUUUCAAUGACAUCAUACCUUUGCGAUGUCGACUUUUCAACAGUUGCAGUGAUAAAAAGCCAGAAAAGUGCCUGAAAACCAACAUAGAACAUUGAACAGUGUCCAAUCUGAGGCCUAAAUUCCUUAAAGUAUGACUUUUAUCCCUUUCUUUCUUGCUCCCUCAAAAACUGUAACUCUCUAUUUUUCUAAUCUACGGAGUUCAACAACUUGCUUUACAAAACUUCCAAUACCAGUUAGUCCAGACAAGAACUAAGCAACGUUUCCCUGCCAAAAUCUGGCUAAGGUAAGAUUAUGUAAAAACCUUACGGAAGUACUUGUCAAAUGUAAACAGGGCUUCCCUAACUCACCAUCAGGAGUAUCUUUGUUUAUUUUUAGUAUCUUCAGAGGAAGUUUUUAUUUUACUUUAUUUAUUUAUUUCUUUAUUUAUUAAGAGCCAGGGUCUCACUUUGUUACCCAGGCUGGAGUACAGUGGCAAGAUCAUAGCUCACUGCAGCCUGGGCUCAAGCAAUCCUCCACACUCAGCCUCCCGAGUAGCUGGGACCACAGGCGUGCACCCAGCUAAUUUUUUUUGUAUUUUUUGUAGAGAUGGGGUCCCAUUAUGUGGCCCAGGCUGGUCUCGAACUCCUGGGCUCAAGCAAUCCACCUGCCUCGGCCUCCCAAAGUGUGGGAUUACAGGCAUGAGCCACCACACCGGGCAAUUUAUUUCUGCUUUUCGAAAAAAUGGGAAGAAGCAUGGUUUUGAUAUUUGAUCAAAGGUCUCCCCACUAGGCAAUAAGAGUCCAUUAUAUAUGAUCAUCCCUCCCAGCCAACCAGCAGCCCUUUCUCCCCAUACGUGCAGUCACAGGAAGUUUAAGGAGUGACCUGUGAUCUUUAUGAUGUUCCUUUCAACUCCCAGGGUGCUCUGGUGUCUGGCUGCUCCCUGCAUAGAAAACCAUUAACAUUUUUUCCAUUUUGAUCAUGGAGAAAAGCUGGGAAGCACAGCAAGUGCCCACAGGAAUAAAAUAUACAGUCUGUGCCUUGCUUUUUCCUCUGUGUCACCUAGAACCGGAGAUCCAGGCUGGAAGCUGCGCAAGGGGCCACCCCGUCCAUUCCUCUGCCGAUGAUCAAAGCAGCUCAAGGGCUUUGUCCAGCUUCAUGGGGAAAUCUCUACAAUAGGGCUGCCAUCGCCUCCGACCCCCAUCUCAAAGAGUGGGCCACAGACAAACACACUCCACCACUGGAGAACCCACUAUGGGUCCAGCAAUAUUCUAGGUGCUAGAGAUAUGAAGACAAGCAAGCCCCAGUCCUUGUCCUCAAGUAACUCAAAGAAGAGGAGUUCACAGCCCUUUACAGAAGGGACCUCCACCAGCCUCACCACACCUCUGUGCUCUCCACCAGCCAGACUGCGCUAUCAGCCCACAUUCCAACUCCAGAGCCACUGCACAGAAUAAACCAAGGCUGGAUUCCUGGAGACAAUGUGGACUGAAUGCCACGUAUAAGCCAGAGAGUUCUGUGCUCUGAAGGAAGAUGACACUCAGCUUUCGGGUAACCCCAGAUCUCAGGAAUCAAGUCUCCAGUGAAGCACAGGUACCCUUUGCUCCCAAGAGCUCCUGGCUGCAGUUUGAGGCUUGCUUUGGAGAUUAAUGGUCUCCUCACUCGGCACUCUCCGCCUCAUUUAGUAAUCAGUGUAUCCUGUGAAAACACAAACAAGUGAAGCUCCUGCUCUUAAGAGGUCAACCCAGGGAAGGGGAGAUGAGGUCAGACUGCUCUCAGGCAGGGAAGUCAGGAGGACUUUUGCUCAGUCUUGGCACAGACGCUUCACAUCCAGAACAGAACAGAGGGCCUCCAUCAGGCAACCGUGAACUCUGACCCACCUGCCCUCAGCAAAUGUGCCCGGUGUGACAAAGUAACUAUGUCAUAAGGUUUGAGAAACAAAUGUGUUCUGUUUAUGCCUCUCCUGGUAAGAGGACAGAUGGAGUGGGAGGAAAGGGGCAGGAGGUGAGCACAGGUGUCUCCAGGUAUACUUACCUGGAGGUUCCACCCUCUGCAGUUUUCUCCCCUCCGUCUCUAUUAUUUAUUUUAUCUCAAAGUCAGCCGGAAGCCAGAGCGUCUGGAGGAUUUCACUUGGCUGCCAUGAGACUGCCCGCGUACCCCCUCGCAGUUGCCCAGGACGUACAAGCACUGAUAGUCACAUGGCCUUUAAAAGGCACCUCCUGCAUCUAGGGGCUUGCUUUUGCCUGGAGCCAAAGCCACUUUGAUGAUAUAAAAACGCCCAGGAGGUCCUGUGGGUCAAGGUCUCAAAUGGGAUGGAAGAAAGAACAAGAAGAGAUGCUGCAGUCCAAACGAGCAGACCAUGAGGUGCACCGCGACCAUCAGCCGCGGGGCUGCAGCAAGCUAUUUAUGGCCACCCCCCAUCCCCACGUAGUCGCUUUAGUACCAGUCACGCUGCACAGGGGCCUUUCAGUCAAUGAGGGACUGCAUAAAUGAAAGUGGUCCCAUAGGAUUCUAAUAUCAUAUUUUCACCUUUUCUAUAUUUAGAUAAACAAGUACUUGCCACUGUGUUCCAGAUGCCUACAGCAUUCAGUAUAGUAACCUGCUGUAAGGUUUGUAGCCUAGAGUGAUAGGUACCAUCUAGCCUGGGUAUAGUAGGCUAUGCCAUCUAGGUUUGUGUAAGUUCACUCUGUGAUGUUCUCACAAUGCAGGAGGAAAGGGGCAGGAGGUGAGCACAGGUGUCUACAGGUGUACUUACCUGGCAAUUCCACCUUCUAUUGUCUGUAGCCUAGAAGCAAUAGUCUAUACCAUCUAGCCUAGGUAUAGUAGGUUAUAUCAUCUACCUCGGUAUAGUGGGCUAUACUGUCUAGGUCUAUGUAAGUAGACUCUAUGAUGUUUGCACAUUGACAAGAUCACCAAACAACACAAUUCUCUGAAUGCAUCCCUGUUGUUAAGCAACGCACAACCGUACUUAACAUGUGCCAUAUAAUCAAAGCGGCCAAAGAGAACCAACCCUAUUUUCACCAUCUGCUGUUGUGAAAUAAAACGGUCACCUGGAAACGUUUACAAUAUGAUGACUAAAUAUGCAUUCUGGGACCCUUUCUACAAAGAAAUGGGACGGGAACCUCCCACUCGGCCCUUGCCCUCCCAGAGGCACAUUGCCCAGGGAUUCCUUUGUCUCCUUGGGGCCUUGCCAAGUCUGAUGUGCCAGUCACCAAUCUAGGCCAAGUUCACACUUAUCUCUCCACUCCUACCGAGGUGAAAGGGCCCUGGUGAAGAAACAGUCAGGCACACAGCUCUGCUCCCAAUCCAAGACACGUGUUCAGCAGAAAGCUCUCUGCUGUACUCUGGUCGCUUGACCCCUGCCCACCCCCAGCACCCUGCCCUGGGAGCUCCAGUGCUUUCUCCAAACCUGACACUUGCCUCCAGCUCCAGUCUGAGCUUCUCCCUCUGCUGACCAUGCCCAUCUUGUCAUGGUUCCUCCCCAGAAGCACAGAAGACUUUCUCAUCUCUCAGGACAGCCAGCCCUCCUCUUAGGCAUUAGAUCCCAAGGGACUUCCCUUCCAUGACCAUUCCUUCUCUGCAUCUGUAUCCCAGCCCUUGCUAGAGCCGUGGCCCUUCUGUUCUCUUCAUUUCAGGCAUGGGCAUGGGGGGAAGGCCCUCUGAGCUGCUUCCCUCCUUCCUUCUCAGACAACCUUUGGCUCAAGUCAUCUCUACCCAUCCCUUUCCUCACACUCUUGCCUUCCUUACCCUCAGGCAAUCCGGCCCACACCUCCUCGCAUUCCUGGAGCUGCAAGCUCUCAAUUGUCAGCAGUAAUCUUUGGCCCCAUCCAGUAAUAAUCUUUUCUCACUUUUCAUUUCACAAUUUGGUAACACCCAUCAGCACCUCCACCCCUCGAAUGUCACCAAUUUUAUUUCUAUGGCAUUGCCCUCAUGGGUUUAUUCCUACCUGGGUAUUUCCCUUCUGCCUCCUUUACUGCUCCUCUUCUAAAAGCAGGAGCAGAAUGAUCCAUCUCCAAGGCUCAUAUUAAUCCUCAGCUUUGUAUUUUUCUCUUCAUUCUCCUGCUCUGAGAUAUCCCAUUGAUCCUCACUGCUGAUAGAACAAAGUUCAUUAUCCCGGCCUUUAAGGCCAUUAUCAUUGCACAUGACCCUGCCAGCCAGCUCUACCUCCCACUUUUCCCUUCUACUCCAGCCAGGCUGCUUGUCUCCAGCCUGGACCACAGAUGUGAAUGUUUUUGUCAACUCCAAGGCUCUACCUGGGCCACGUCCCUUCUACUUCCCUCCUCUCUACUCAAAUCCUACUCCCGUUCCAAAGUCUAGCUAAACUCUCAUCUUUUCCCCACUUGAAUUAUUAAUGCACAGAAAACAGAGAAGGUGUCUCAUACUCUUGCAUAUCCCAUCAGUUUAUGGUAUACAUAUGGAAGCCAAACGUAUAAAAACUCGUUCAGCCAAACAUACACAAACUCAUUUAGUACAUAUCUACUUAAUCUAUGCAUCCUUUUGUCUUGACCAUCACAGCAACAAGCACAAUGUGAUACAAUUCUGUUCAAUUAUUGCUUACUUUGCAAACAUUGGUAAUUAUAGUGUCUAUUGUCAUACAUUAUGGUUUUUAUCUCAUCGAUUUAGGUGUACGAAUUUCAUACUAAAUAGACCCAUUUGUUUCCUGCUACUUGUUGGCAGGGAUUGGGGUAAAGUGUCACAGCUCGUAGCAGUGUUUCACACUUGGCCUGAAGCAAACGACUUACGCUGUGGUUUAUCUGAGAUGACAUUAGGCGG
RNAcentral lists this long non-coding RNA (5898 nucleotides) under Homo sapiens (human). Its description in RNAcentral is "HSALNT0101817". Lineage: Eukaryota; Metazoa; Chordata; Mammalia; Primates; Hominidae. The record is from RNAcentral.